UCAUAAUCCGGGGCAUCUUGG
RNAcentral lists this unclassified non-coding RNA (21 nucleotides) under Mus musculus (house mouse). RNAcentral's name for it is "oocyte_clustered_small_RNA5133". Lineage: Eukaryota; Metazoa; Chordata; Mammalia; Rodentia; Muridae. The record is from RNAcentral.